CUACCCGGGUAUCUAAUCCUGUUCGCUCCCCACGCUUUCGCUCCUCAGCGUCAGGAAAGGCCCAGAGAACCGCCUUCGCCACUGGUGUUCCUCCUGAUAUCUGCGCAUUCCACCGCUCCACCAGGAAUUCCAUUCUCCCCUACCUUCCUCAAGUCAACCCGUAUCGAAAGCACGCUCAGGGUUAAGCCCCAAGAUUACACUUCCGACGCGAUCAACCACCUACGAGCCCUUUACGCCCAAUAAAUCCGGACAACGCUCGCACCCUACGUAUUACCGCGGCUGCUGGCAC
This 289-nucleotide ribosomal RNA is filed under the name uncultured Propionibacterium sp. RNAcentral's name for it is "partial 16S ribosomal RNA". Lineage: Bacteria; Bacillati; Actinomycetota; Actinomycetes; Propionibacteriales; Propionibacteriaceae. The record is from RNAcentral.